RNAcentral lists this ribosomal RNA (484 nucleotides) under uncultured bacterium. RNAcentral's name for it is "partial 16S ribosomal RNA". It matches the Rfam family "Bacterial small subunit ribosomal RNA", at positions 28 to 523 of the family's 1533-position model. The record is from RNAcentral.
GACGAACGCUGGCGGCGUGCUUAACACAUGCAAGUCGAACGAUGAAGCCGGAGCUUGCUCUGGUGAAUUAGUGGCGAACGGGUGAGUAACACGUGAGUAACCUGCCCUUGACUCUGGGAUAACUGCGGGAAACUGUAGCUAAUACCGGAUACGACCCUCGGAGGCAUCUCCUGGGGGUGGAAAGAAUUUCGGUCAAGGAUGGACUCGCGGCCUAUCAGCUAGUUGGUGAGGUAAAGGCUCACCAAGGCGACGACGGGUAGCCGGCCUGAGAGGGUGACCGGCAACACUGGGACUGAGACACGGCCCAGACUCCUACGGGAGGCAGCAGUGGCGAAUAUUGCACAAUGGGCGAAAGCCUGAUGCAGCAGCGCCGCGUGAGGGAUGACGGCCUUCGGGUUGUAAACCUCUUUUAGCAGGGAAGAAGCGAAAGUGACGGUACCUGCAGAAAAAGCACCGGCUAACUACGUGCCAGCAGCCGCCGUAA